AUUUCCCAAUUCUCUUUUGUACGUUAUCGUCUUCUUCUUCUUCCUCUCUUCCGCUUUUCUCUCUCUCUCUCUCUCUGCAAUUUUCAAUCCCUCCAGUAACACUUCUCUCUCUCAACUGAUCAUUUUCCUUAUUCAUCUUCAACUUCAACUACAAACGCCUCUACUCUCCAUUCUUCUUUACUUCUGCAACUCCAACUCCCCGCCGCCGGCGAGGUUUUUGACGAUGAUGCUCCGGAGUAGUAGUAUGGUGCGAUUAUCGGAACGGAGUACGAGAAGUGAGCUUUUGGCUUUGUAAAUGAAUGUCUCUGACUCGUUACUGUGAUUUGCAAUUUGGGUUUUGGUUACUGUGAUUGAUGGCCUCCACUAACUCACCGCCCAACAUUGAUGCUUCGGCGUUGACGGAGGAUUUAGCGACCAAAGCUUUGAAUAAACGGUAUGAAUGCCUUGUAACUGUUCGAACAAAGGCUAUUAAAGGGAAAGGAGCUUGGUAUUGGGCUCAUUUGGAGCCUGUUCUUAUUCGAAAUCCUACUAAUAGUCUUCCCAAAGCGGUGAAACUCAAGUGUUCUUUAUGCGAUUCUGUUUUUUCGGCUUCGAAUCCUUCGCGGACUGCAUCUGAGCAUUUGAAACGAGGCACUUGUCCUAAUUUGAGUUCAAUUUCUCGGUCUAAUGCUUCGGCAGCGUCGCCGUUACCCAUAUCUUCCAUUCCCUCUCCGACAUUGCAUAACCACAAGAAGCGAAGCUCUCAAAUGAAUGCUUCAAUUCUUACUGCUUCUUAUCAAGUUCACUCUCUUGCUAUGAUUGAGCCGACGCGUUCCUAUGCUCCGCUAAUUUCCUCGCCGCCGACACCAGUGGCUCAAAAUUCGCUUGGGAUGACGAGUAAGAUGGGGUUUAAUCAGCAUCAGUUCGUGUUAUCAGGUGGGAAAGAUGAUUUGGGUGCGCUAGAAAUGCUGGAAAACAGUGUUAAGAAACUGAAGAGUCCACAUGCUUCACCUCGACCAAGGCUAAGUAAGGAACAAAUCGAUUCUGCUAUUGAAUUACUGACUGACUGGUUUAUUGAGUCAUGUGGGUCAGUUUCACUUUCGUGCCUUGAGCACCCCAAGUUUAAGGCCUUGCUUACUCAGUUGGGUUUGCCUUCAUUACCUCGAACCGACAUUUUAGGAGCUCGGCUCGACUCCAAGUUUGAGGAAGCCAAAGCUGAUUCAGAAGCCAGGAUUAGAGAUGCAGCGUUUUUUCAAAUUGCUUCAGAUGGGUGGAAGAAUAAGAACUGCUGUGGUGAAGAGAGUGUUGUUAAAUUUAUGGUCAAUCUUCCAAAUGGUACUACUGUAUUUCAAAAAGCACUAUUUACAGGGGGAUUGGUGUCAUCCAAGUAUGCAGAAGAGGUUAUUUUGGAUACAGUCAACGAGAUUUGUGGGAGUGGUCUGCAGAAAUGUGUGGGGAUAAUUGCAGAUAGGUAUAAGGCUAAGGCGUUGAGGAAUUUGGAGAUAAAGAAUCAUUGGAUGGUAAAUCUCUCUUGCCAGCUUCAGGGUUUUAUUAGUUUGAUAAAGGAUUUUAACAAAGAGCUUCCACUUUUCAGGGCAGUCACUGAAAAUUGCUUGAAGGUUGCAAAUUUUGUAAACACCAAAUCUCAAGUUAGAAAUUGUAUAAAUAAGUACAAGGUACAGGAGCUAGAGGGCCACUGGUUGCUUCAUGUUCCUUCUCCAAACUGUGACACAUCCAAAAACUUUUCGCCUGUUUAUGCUAUGCUUGAUGAUAUGCUUAGCUGUACUCAUGUGCUUCAAAUGGUUGUGUUAGACGAGUCCUUUAAGCUGGCAUGCAUGGAGGAUUCACUUGCGACUGAGGUUUCUAGUCUGAUACAAAAUGAACGCUUUUGGGAUGAAAUGGAGGCAGUUCAUUCAUUGGUGAAAAUGAUCCGUGGAAUGGCUCAAGAGAUUGAAGCGGAAAGGCCACUGAUUGGGCAAUGCUUGCCACUCUGGGAGGAGCUGAGAACAAAAGUGAAGGAAUGGUGUGUUAAGUUCAGCAUAGCUGAAGGGCCAGUAGAAAAAGUUGUAGAAAAGAGGUUUAGGAAAAAUUAUCAUCCAGCAUGGUCAGCUGCAUUUAUACUGGACCCGCUUUACUUGAGGAGGGACAUAAAUGGGAAAUAUCUUCCACCCUUCAAGUGCCUUUCACAAGAGCAGGAAAAGGAUGUGGAUUCACUUAUUAAUCGGUUGGUGUCAAGGGAAGAAGCUCAUCUCGCGUUCAUGGAGCUUAUGAAAUGGAGAUCUGAAGGGCUAGACCCACUUUAUGCUCAGGCAGUUCAGGUUAAACAAAGAGACCCUUUAACUGGAAAGAUGAAAAUUGCCAAUCCACAGAGUAGACGACUUGUCUGGGAAACUUGCUUAAGCGAGUUUAAGACCCUUGGCAAGGUUGCACUGAGGCUUAUUUUCCUCCAUUCAACAUCUUGUGGCUACAAGUGUAAAUGUUCUAUCAUGAAUUUGGUUUGCUCGCAUCGGCACUCGAGGGUUGGCUUGGAGAGAGCUCAGAAGAUGGUAUUUGUUGCAGCUCAUGCCAAGCUUGAAAGGGGAGACUUUUCUAACGAGGAAAACAAAGAUGCAGAACUAUUUGCAAUGGCAGAUGGUGAAAAUGACAUGCUCAAUGAGGUCUUUUCUGAUGCACCCUCAAUUAAAGUGCUGGAUGUGUUUGAUCAAACAGAACCAGAGCUGUCAGAAGUCAACCUCGGACUAGGUACCAUAUCUUUGCAGCUGAAGAUGCACUUGGCUGAUAGAAUCCCAGAUAUAUCGCCUGUUGUGCCUAUUUAUAUCACUUUUUGAGCCCCACUGUGUGGAGUGGAUGUCUAUCUCAAUGCUGUUGUAGAUGUCAUAGUCAAAGAAAAGACAUUUACAAGUUUUGCAGAUUUAUUGGUUAGGCUUGGCAUGAUUGCUAAAAAAGUCUUGAGCAAAGGGCAAGCAAGAAGGGCUGUCGGCAUGAGUAUGCACAUAACAAGGCCGAAAGGGAUGUAGCAACGAACUUGAAUUGAUGUUGCAUGUAUGGUUCAGAAAACAACUUUGACAACACAAAGCAGGUUGAAACUAAUUUAGGAGAAUGGAGGAGGAGGAGGUUCUAAAUCUCAAAGGAGACAUUAUGCUAAAUUUGCCAAGUUAUCUUUUAAUGAUGUAAAAUUUGUAUGGUGAGAAUGAAUUCAUUUCAAUUGGUGCAAUGAAAUCUCACCUAAAAGGACAAGUUGCUGAGGUUAUCUCAAUGAUUUUGGGUGGUGUUAAUUUAAAAUUAACCCCAAAUCAUACCUUCAAAUUAAUGCUCGCUAACAAACUGUCCAUUUGGUAGGUCAAUCCACUUGAUUAUUACUUUUAUUGCCACGAUCAUAAAUAGAUCUUUUAAUUAAUUUUUUUUAGAAAACAAUUUUUAGUAUUGUGAAACUGUUCAUUUUAUUCAUUGAAUAUUAAUAUUAUCUUUUUGGUCUUUCCUCACCCACCUAUUAAAAAGGGUCAAGCUAUGAAGGGAAAUAAAAGAUGAAACACGGUGGUUGGCCAUUGAAAAUGGUAAAGGGUAGAUAGAAAAAAAAUAUAUACAUUAAGGUGAUGUUUGCUUUAAUUUGAAUUUAUCAAAUUUAUAGUUGGAAAUUUUAUAUAUUUGGAUUAUUAUUAUUAUUAUUUAAAAAAUAAAAAAUAAAAAAUAAAAAUAAGGUGAAAGAAUUUUGGGUUUAGGUAAGGAUUUAUGAUAAGGUUGGCAUCUAAUAUGAAAAUUAGAUUUCAUAACCUUAUGUUUAUGGAACUUAUGAGAUCGAUGGAAUUGUAACAAAGAUAAACAGCUUUUAACAUUUUAAUUUUAAGGUAUACAAACAUAACUCAUCAAUCAAAACCAUUUAAAUAUUUCAAUAUCCAAAAUUAUAACCGUGAUUACUAGCACAUUUGUAUGUCAAUUAAAUUAUAUUCAUUUUUGUAUAACUCUAACCUUUGAGUCUUCAUAAAUAAGGAUAUACUCAUAUACUCUUUUUGUUUUUUUUUUUUUCCUUUUCACUUAUUUUAUAUGUAAUUUGUAUGUGAAACUAAAAAAAAAAAAAAAAAAAGCAUAUUAUAAUUCAAUUGAGGCAUAACUAGUAUUGUUCAAAUAUUUUAAUGUUAAUUUUCAAACACCCAAGGGCUAGGGCAAUUGAUUUCAUGGAAAUUAAAGGUACAUAUAAGUGUAAACCAUAGAGUCAUUUUUAGAAUUCUCAACAUUGACGUUGCAUGGUCGGAGUUUGUUGAUGGUAUGUGAUAUAGUGGGAGAUUUGGAAUGGGAAUAACCCUCUGAUGAUUGUGGAAUAUGAGUAUGAUUUGUCUGGAGUUAUUUCUUCUGUGGAUGAGGCCCUCCUUUCUCUAGGCACUUUGGUUCAUGUUUCGAGACUAUAAUAAAAUUACUCAUAAUCUAGCAGCUUUGACGUCUUCUCUUAAGCUGCAUCUCGAAAGAGGUCUUUCUUUUUGUUAUUUUGUCCCUUCUUCCUUGUAUAGUGUGUAGUUAUGGAUAUAUUAUAAUUUUUCACUUUUCCCUU
Benincasa hispida (wax gourd) is the source of this 4522-nucleotide non-coding RNA. NCBI's taxonomy places the organism in Eukaryota, Viridiplantae, Streptophyta, Magnoliopsida, Cucurbitales, Cucurbitaceae. The record is from RefSeq and is a predicted model, not a curated record.